Alligator sinensis (Chinese alligator) is the source of this 524-nucleotide long non-coding RNA. RefSeq lists it as uncharacterized. The transcript has 4 exons. Lineage: Eukaryota; Metazoa; Chordata; Crocodylia; Alligatoridae. The record is from RefSeq and is a predicted model, not a curated record.
GACAUCUGUGAUAAAUUGGGUUGCAGCUGCAUACUCUUUGGGCCACUGCCUUUUGCCUAUGUUUGUAUAGCGCCUAGCACAACAUGCCCCAGUUGAUGGCUGGGGCUGGCAGGUUAAUAGGCACAUGGAUUGCUUGGUUGCUUUGAUCCUUUAUGCAGCACCUCAUGACUACUGCAUGCCUUUAAAGCCAAGUACAGCAGUGAUUCUCAACCAGGGUAUUGUGGCACACUAGAGUGAUGCAAGAUCCUUUGAAUGGUGUCGUGAGGUAUGAGGAGAUAAGCAGAUAAUCUCAGGUUCAUGCUCAUCCCUGCCUGGCCAUUCCUCCACCCCCACUGCCUGACCCCUCUGCAAGGAGUCCUGCACCCACUCUGAAAAUACAGAUCAGAAAAUUUUGAUUGUCCUUACCUCGCUUACGAUGGAUGAAUGGGGAUGCCUAUACACCCAGCCAUUCUGGCAUGUGGGUCCAUCCACAUUUCUUGCUUACGUCUGCUGCACCGGGGAUCCUGCACCAAUACGGCUCUGGA